Molecule: long non-coding RNA, 460 nt
Organism: Dermacentor albipictus
Lineage: Eukaryota; Metazoa; Arthropoda; Arachnida; Ixodida; Ixodidae
Source: RefSeq, a predicted model, not a curated record
GCAUUGUUAGGAGAGAGGCCUAUCGUUGCAGCAGGACAGAAGCGAAACAUUUUCACUGGAAUGUGAAAAGUUGAGAGGGCCGUCACAGGCGUUGCCGUAUUACAGGCAACUACGCCGGGAACUUCCAGUAUUCAUAAUGCCUGGUGACCUUGAAGGCCAUGACACUGGUCCGUUUCGCCCGAUUGACUUUCCUUGGAAGGCCACGUCAAGCUAGCCUCGAGCUUGACUAUUGCUGUUGGGGGGAGGGCACCAUCAUGCUGGAACCAUGCGUCCCGGAGACCCUUCAGAUGAAGGCAAUUGCAAUUGAAGACCAUUCAAAAUUCCGUCGAGGUCCAUUGGUGAUUCGUACCAAGGAGCAGCGCGCUGGCGACGAAGUACAAGAGCAGCAGCAACAGCAGGAGGGUGCAGCAGACGAUCAGCAUGAUCUUCUUCUUGGUGUCCUCGUCGUCUUUGUCUGUCG